Molecule: long non-coding RNA, 470 nt
Filed under: Rattus norvegicus (Norway rat)
Lineage: Eukaryota; Metazoa; Chordata; Mammalia; Rodentia; Muridae
Description: long non-coding RNA NONRATT016431
Source: RNAcentral
UGGAUGAAGGUAUAGAACUCUCUGCUCCUCCCUCUCCUUGCCUGCCUGGACACUGCUGUACUUCCUGCCAUUCUGAUAAUGGAUUCAACCUCCGAACCUAACAACACACCUAAGAAAAGAUUCCACAGAAGCCAAGCUUGGUGAAUCAAGUGGCUUAUUGCAGUUACUUUCCAAGAUCAUGGAGCACACAGUUUUCUUCCAUCCCCUUCUGCGACAGUCAAGACCACACAGACUUCUGCCCUGUAAGAAAAGGCAAUCAGCUUCGUGAAUCUUCCUGAGAUGUUGGGACUUCAGGAAAGUUGAGAUGUAUUUAGGGUCAGAACGGCAGAUGGGCAUCCAGAGACCUUUCCAUGAAGACAUUUCCUACAUUGCCUAAAGACUAGGCAAAGGUAGGAUUCUGCGUCUCCAAGGCCCAGAAACUUGCUGACAUUUCUGUUCUCAUUCUAAAUAAACAUCCUCUUUCAAAGUUU